AACGAACGCUGGCGGCAUGCCUAACACAUGCAAGUCGAACGAGACCUUCGGGUCUAGUGGCGCACAGGUGCGUAACGCGUGGGAACCUGCCCUUAGGUUCGGAAUAACUCCCCGAAAGGGGUGCUAAUACCGGAUAAUGUCUUCGGACCAAAGAUUUAUCGCCUUUGGAUGGGCCCGCGUUGGAUUAGCUAGUUGGUAGGGUAAAAGCCUACCAAGGCGACGAUCCAUAGCUGGUCUGAGAGGAUGUUCAGCCACACUGGGACUGAGACACGGCCCAGACUCCUACGGGAGGCAGCAGUGGGGAAUAUUGGACAAUGGGCGAAAGCCUGAUCCAGCAAUGCCGCGUGAGUGAUGAAGGCCUUAGGGUUGUAAAGCUCUUUUACCCGGGAUGAUAAUGACAGUACCGGGAGAAUAAGCUCCGGCUAACUCCGUG
RNAcentral lists this ribosomal RNA (433 nucleotides) under uncultured bacterium. RNAcentral's name for it is "partial 16S ribosomal RNA". It matches the Rfam family "Bacterial small subunit ribosomal RNA", at positions 29 to 507 of the family's 1533-position model. The record is from RNAcentral.